This 428-nucleotide ribosomal RNA is filed under the name uncultured bacterium. RNAcentral's name for it is "bacterial SSU rRNA". It matches the Rfam family "Bacterial small subunit ribosomal RNA", at positions 64 to 524 of the family's 1533-position model. The record is from RNAcentral.
GAACGGGAAAGUGGAGCAAUCCAUGAGUAAAGUGGCGACCGGGUGAGUAACACGUGACUAACCUGCCCUUGAGUGGGGGAUAACCUCGGGAAACCGGGGCUAAUACCGCAUAACAUCGUAAGAUCAAAGGAGCAAUCCGCUGAAGGAGGGGGUCGCGGCUGAUUAGUUAGUUGGUGAGGUAACGGCUCACCAAGACGAAGAUCAGUAGCCGGCCUGAGAGGGCGCACGGCCACACUGGAACUGAAACACGGUCCAGACUCCUACGGGAGGCAGCAGUGGGGAAUUUUGCGCAAUGGGGGAAACCCUGACGCAGCAACGCCGCGUGGAGGAUGAAGUCCCUUGGGAUGUAAACUCCUUUCGAUCGGGACGAUUAUGACGGUAUCGGAAGAAGAAGCACCGGCUAACUUUGUGCCAGCAGCCGCGGUAAU